This 115-nucleotide ribosomal RNA is filed under the name Acanthosepion pharaonis. The record is from RNAcentral. Lineage: Eukaryota; Metazoa; Mollusca; Cephalopoda; Sepiida; Sepiidae.
UUAUGGCCAUAUCAUGCUGAAACACCAGUUCCCAUACGAUCACCAAAGUUAAGCAACAUUGAGCCUGGUCAGUACUUAGAUGAGUGACCAUUUGGGAAUACCAGGUGCUGUAAGC